AUGAGCAAAAGAAAUUGGACAGGGAAUCCCUGUUGCUCUUUCUGCAAACAGGUGGAAACAGUGAAGCACUUGUUCUUUACUUGUCCCGUGGCCAGAAUUGUUUGGCGAUCCAUUGGAGUAGCUCUUGGCACCGAUAGAUGCCCGUCGGACUACUGGCAAUAUUUUGUGUGGUGCCACAAAUUCCUUCCUGGGAAGCAAAAGUUUCAUACGGUGAGCCUAGCGGCCGUAUGUUGGGCCAUUUGGUUGGCACGCAAUCGAGCUACUUUUGAAAAGAAACAAAUUAAGACUCCUUUUAAGAUUGUGUUUUCUCUAUGUUCCUUUCUAUUAUAUCGGACAGGGCUUCAACAAGGAGAGGACGCCAAGGAUCUUCGCGAUGGAGCUGAGAUGAUCAGGACUGUGACGAUGCAGCUGAUGAAGAUGUGUGGUGCUGUCAAGAAACCAAUCCAAGGUGCCUGA
Molecule: ribosomal RNA, 456 nt
Filed under: Triticum aestivum (bread wheat)
Lineage: Eukaryota; Viridiplantae; Streptophyta; Magnoliopsida; Poales; Poaceae
Description: partial small subunit ribosomal RNA
Source: RNAcentral